RNAcentral lists this ribosomal RNA (484 nucleotides) under uncultured bacterium. RNAcentral's name for it is "partial 16S ribosomal RNA". It matches the Rfam family "Bacterial small subunit ribosomal RNA", at positions 30 to 507 of the family's 1533-position model. The record is from RNAcentral.
AUUGAACGCUGGCGGCAGGCCUAACACAUGCAAGUCGAGCGGAUGAAGGGAGCUUGCUCCUGGAUUCAGCGGCGGACGGGUGAGUAAUGCCUAGGAAUCUGCCUGGUAGUGGGGGAUAACGUCCGGAAACGGGCGCUAAUACCGCAUACGUCCUGAGGGAGAAAGUGGGGGAUCUUCGGACCUCACGCUAUCAGAUGAGCCUAGGUCGGAUUAGCUAGUUGGUGGGGUAAAGGCCUACCAAGGCGACGAUCCGUAACUGGUCUGAGAGGAUGAUCAGUCACGCUGGAACUGAGACACGGUCCAGAAUCCUACGGGAGGCAGCAGUGGGGAAUAUUGGACAAUGGGCGAAAGCCUGAUCCAGCCAUGCCGCGUGUGUGAAGAAGGUCUUCGGAUUGUAAAGCACUUUAAGUUGGGAGGAAGGGCAGUAAGUUAAUACCUUGCUGUUUUGACGUUACCAACAGAAUAAGCACCGGCUAACUUCGUG